Molecule: ribosomal RNA, 897 nt
Filed under: uncultured bacterium
Lineage: Bacteria
Description: bacterial SSU rRNA
Rfam family: Bacterial small subunit ribosomal RNA
Source: RNAcentral
AACGCGGGCGGCGUGCCUAACACAUGCAAGUCGAACGGAGGCAGGGAGCUUGCUCCUUGCUUUAGUGGCGCACGGGUGAGUAAUGCGUAGAUAAUCUACCUGAGGGUCCGGGAUAACAUCUCGAAAGGGGUGCUAAUACCGGAUAAGCCCACGGAGUCUUCGGACUUUGCGGGAAAAGGGGGGGACCUUCGGGCCUUCUGUCCUCAGAUGAGUCUACGUACCAUUAGCUAGUUGGUGGGGUAAAGGCCUACCAAGGCGACGAUGGUUAGCUGGUCUGAGAGGAUGAUCAGCCACACUGGAACUGAGACACGGUCCAGACUCCUACGGGAGGCAGCAGUGGGGAAUUUUGCGCAAUGGGGGAAACCCUGACGCAGCAACGCCGCGUGAGUGAUGAAGGCCUUCGGGUCGUAAAGCUCUGUCAGAGGGAAAGAAAUGUACGAGGGUUAAUACCCCUUGUACUUGACGGUACCCUCAAAGGAAGCACCGGCUAACUCCGUGCCAGCAGCCGCGGCAAUACGGAGGGUGCGAGCGUUGUUCGGAUUUAUUGGGCGUAAAGCGCGUGUAGGCGGCUUCUUAAGUCUGAUGUGAAAGCCCUGGGCUCAACCCGGGAAGUGCAUUGGAAACUGGGAAACUUGAAUACGGGAGAGGGUAGUGGAAUUCCUGGUGUAGGAGUGAAAUCCGUAGAUAUCAGGAGGAACACCGGUGGCGAAGGCGGCUACCUGGACCGAUAUUGACGCUGAGACGCGAAAGCGUGGGGAGCAAACAGGAUUAGAUACCCUGGUAGUCCACGCCGUAAACGAUGAGUACUAGGUGUUGCGGGUAUUGACCCCUGCAGUGCCGCAGCUAACGCAUUAAGUACUCCGCCUGGGAAGUACGGUCGCAGACUAAAACUCAAAU